Molecule: ribosomal RNA, 676 nt
Filed under: uncultured bacterium
Lineage: Bacteria
Description: bacterial SSU rRNA
Rfam family: Bacterial small subunit ribosomal RNA
Source: RNAcentral
GGGACAGCCUCGGGAAACCGUGGGUAAUACCGGAUACUCCGGGACGGCCGCAUGGCCGGCCCGGGAAAGCCAGACGGGAGGGGAUGGGCCCGCGGCCUGUUAGCUAGUCGGCGGGGUAACGGCCCACCGAGGCGAUUAUGGGUAGCCGGGUUGAGAGACCGACCGGCCAGAUUGGGACUGAGACACGGCCCAGACUCCUACGGGAGGCAGCAGUGGGGAAUCUUGCGCAAUGGGCGGAAGCCUGACGCAGCGACGCCGCGUGCGGGACGAAGGCCUUCGGGUCGUAAACCGCUUUCAGCAGGGACGAGGCCCUCACGGUGACGGUACCUGCAGAAGAAGCCCCGGCUAACUACGUGCCAGCAGCCGCGGUAAUACGUAGGGGGCGAGCGUUAUCCGGAUUCAUUGGGCGUAAAGCGCGCGUAGGCGGCCUGUUAGGUCGGGGGUCAAAUACCGGGGCUCAACCCCGGUCCGCCCCCGAUACCGGCAGGCUUGAGUCUGGUAGGGGAAGGCGGAAUUUCCAGUGUAGCGGUGGAAUGCGCAGAUAUUGGGAAGAACACCGGCGGCGAAGGCGGCCUUCUGGGCCACGACUGACGCUGAGGCGCGAAAGCUAGGGGAGCGAACAGGAUUAGAUACCCUGGUAGUCCUAGCCGUAAACGAUGGACGCUAGGUGUGGGGG